AUUAAGCCUUUGUUGAAGCAACGCACACAUAUUAGGUGUCAAAUAUUGCAAUUUCUCUAUCUCUCUUGUCAAAUAUUGCAAUUUCUCUAUUUCUCUCGAGAGUGAAGACUGAAGUCAAGGUCUCUGGACUAUUCAUAGGAUGCCCUGCAGCUGAGGGUGGAGAAAAUGAGAAAUGACAGCUAAACGUCUGCCAAUGACUUCAAGCCAAGUCUCCAACGAAUGACCGUCACCUUGAAUAGUGAUGAUUUUAGCGCAAGACUUGCAAAGAUCUUUAUAGUGGCUAACUCUUUGCUAUUAACAUAUGAUCUACUUAUUUUUCUCAUAAAAUUUAUUGAUUUUUAUGUCAAAGCAGCCCACCUCUUUUAUCUUUCCUCUUCUGUC
Molecule: long non-coding RNA, 381 nt
Filed under: Sorghum bicolor (sorghum)
Lineage: Eukaryota; Viridiplantae; Streptophyta; Magnoliopsida; Poales; Poaceae
Description: long non-coding RNA (SBIC_LNC005607)
Source: RNAcentral